RNAcentral lists this long non-coding RNA (12372 nucleotides) under Homo sapiens (human). Its description in RNAcentral is "non-protein coding lnc-H1FNT-1:4". The record is from RNAcentral. Lineage: Eukaryota; Metazoa; Chordata; Mammalia; Primates; Hominidae.
AGGCGCCCCCAAACGCGAACCCGGGACCUCCGCGCCCGCCGCUGUGGGGAGGGUGCGGCCCGAGACGCUUGGAGGGCGGCGGGCGCCGGAAUCGCAGCCUGCUGUGGCCACUUGCCCGCACUCUUGCCUGACUGACCAUUUUCCGCUCUGGCUACUGGGCCUCCCACGGAGUUCUGUCCUCAGGGUUCGUCAAUUACCUGGAAUUGCGUAACCGCCCGUUACAGGCCAGACCGAGGCCGAGAGCGAUUUCUCCAGACAACAGUCUGGAAUUCCUCAAGGAGCGUACCCUCUAGUUUUCACGAUAGGAUAAAGGGCUUGAGAGAGCACUGAGGAGGAGUCACUUAUUCUGCCUGAGGGGAAGUCAGGUUGCUAUCUGAAGUUGGCCUUGCGGCUGCUGUCCCAUUUGCGGGAGCCGUAGCCGCAGGUGACACCUGAGCUCUCGAAAUGUGGCUGGUCUGAAUAGAGAUGUGUUCCAAGAUUUAGAAGAUUUAAUUUAAAAAGUGAUAUUUUGGGUAUAUUGGGUUAAAUAUAUUAAAAUUAAUUUCACCUGGUUUUAACUUUUUAAAUGUGGCUAUAAAUAUGGCUUGCAUUAUAUUUCUAUUGGAUAGUGCUACCUUGCAGCAUUAAGAUGGAUUUGACUAGAAAAGAUGAGAAGGGCCUACAAACAGUGAGUAAACCCAUUGCUGUUAGAAUCUGUUUAUAACCUACAAGUCACAUUCACAUUCCUUAUUUCAUCAUUACAACAAUUUUCAAAAAUUUUAUUUAGUAGACUUAAAAAAUAAUUGACUCACUUAAGGUCAUAUGUGACAAUCAUUCGUUUAAUGCAUAUUUAUUUUCUACGUGUGCCAGACACUGUAACUAAAUGCUGGGAGUUAAAGGAUUCACAGUCUGGGGAAGCACAUGUCAACAAAUAUUUGCAAUAAAAACGUAGAUUCUAAAACAGAGGAACGUACGCUGCACUUGAAGCAAAGAGAAGUGACCACGUAUGGGACGGAGGUCAGAGAAGGCCCCCCACUCUGACAGAAAUCGUGAGGCAGAGAAGAGUCAGGAGGGCUGUCUAAUGAAAGAGGAAAAUGCAGUAGACACGCAGUUGGGAAGAGUAUAGAGCAUAUUCUAGGAGCAGAUCAUGGGAUAUGUCGGGGUAGUAGUAGAGCCAGAAUUUUUAUCCCGGGUCCUGGAACUAAGUCCAGGGGUUCUUUUCACUUAUGCUACCACUGGUGGUAAAUAUAAGGUGCGUUAAUUGGAGUAGGCUAGCAAAACCAGUAUCUCGGGGCUUAACUCCAUAAAGGCUUAUGUUCAUACAAGUCACAGUGUGGUAACAAGUUGGUUGGGGCCAGAGGGUGGGGUCUGUACUUCUUGAAUUCAUUGAAGGACCAGGCUUCUUGCAUUUGGUGGUUCUCCCAUGCCGAGGCCUUGGUAAUGUAGUCAAAUCUGUGGCCCUCAGAUAAGGGAGGCUGGCCGUGGUUAACUUGUCAGAGAUAUUAGGGGCCAGUCCUGGAAGUGGUGUGUAUCAUUUUCACCCCAUUCCCUUAGCCAGAACUCAUGCGCAUGGUCACAUGGCCCUACCCAGAAGGGUGGCUGGGAAGUAAAGAAUGUGUGCCUCAUGGAAAAGGAAAUGGGCGCUGCUGGACACAGCAUUGCCUCGUCACACAGAGUUAAAUUGAACAUAACCAAGUACGUAAACCUGACUUUACCUGAAAAGAAUGUUUGGAAAGAACUGAUAGAUAUUAUAAUAGCCCAAACUCUCCUCGACUGUUUUGGGAAACAAAUCAGUGUGAGAUUGUUUCCAAAAAAUAAAAAAAGCCAGGUGCAGUGUCUCAUGCCUGUAAUCCCAGCACUUUGGGAGGUAGAGGCGGGCGGAUCACAAGGUCAGGAGUUCAAAACCAGCCUGGCCAACAUAGUGAAACCCUGUCUCUAGCUGGGCAUGGUGGUGCGUGCCUGUAGUCCCAGCUACUUGGGAGGCUGAGGCAGGAGAAUCGCUUGAAACCAGGAGGUGGAAGUUGCAGUGAGCAGAGAUCGUGCCACUAAUACUCCAGCUUGGGCAACAGAAUGAGACUUCGUCUCAAAAAAAAAAAAAAAAAAAGAGGCUGAAUGGUAUCAUCUUCUUUAUACCAGAACCUUUUCUUUUUAAAAAUAACUUUUAUAAUUUUAAAUUUGUGUAGUUACAUAAUAGGUGAAUAUCUUUAUGGGGUACAUGAGAUAUUUUGAUGCAGGUAUGCAAUGCAUGAUAAUCACAUCAUGGGAAUCAGGUAUCCAUCCCCUCAAGCAUUUAUCCUUUGUGUUACAAACAAUCCAAUUAUACCCUUUUAGUUACUUUAAAAUGUACAGUUAUUAUUGACUAUAAUAACUAUUAAAUACUAGGUCUAUUAAAUACUAGGUUGUUCUAUUAAAUACUAGGUCUUAUUCAUGCAUUCAAACUAUUUUUUGUACCCAUUAACCAUCCUCACUGUCCCCAUUCCCCCAUUACCCUUCCCAGCCUCUGGUAACCAUCCUUCUACUCUCUAUCUCCAUGGGUUGAAUUGUUUUGAUUUUUAGAUCCUCCAAAUAAGUGAGAACAUGUGAUGUUUGUCUUUCUGUGUCUGGCUUAUUUCGCUUAACAUAAUGACUUCCAGUUCCAUCCAUGUUGUUGCAAAUGACUAAAUCUCAUUCUUUUUUUAUGGCUGAAUAGUGCUCCAUUGUGUGUAAGUACCAUUUGUUCUUUAUUCAUUCAUCUGUUAAUGGACACUUAGAUUGCUUCCAAAUCUUGGCUAUGGUGAACAGAGCUGCAACAAACAUGGGAAUGCAGAUAUCUCUUUGAUAAACUGAUUUCCUUUCUUUUAGGUAUAUACCCAGCAGUGGGAUUGCUGGAUCAUAUAGGAGCUCAAUUUUUAGUUUUUUUGAGGAACCUCCAAACUGUUCUCCCUAGUAGUUAUACUAAUUUACAUUCCCACUAGCAGUGUAUGAGGGUUCCCUUUUCUCUACAUCCUUACCAGCAUUUGUUAUUGCCUGCUUUUUGAAUAUAAGCCAUUUUAACAGGAGUGAGAUGAUAUCUCAUUGGAGUUUUGAUUUGCAUUUCUCUGAUGAUCAGUAAUAUUGAGCACCUUCUCAUAUGUCUGUUUGCCAUUUGUAUGUAUUCUUUUGAGAAAUGUCUAUUCAAAUCUUUUGCCUAUUUUUUAACCAGAGUAUUAGAUUUUUUCCUGUAGAGUUGCUUGAGAUCCUUAUAUAUUCUGGUUAUUAAUCUCUUAUCAGAUAAGUAGUUUGCAAAUAUUUUCUCCCAUUCUGUGUGUUGUCUCUUCAAUUUGUUGAUUGCUUCUUUUGCUGUGCAGAAGCUUUUUAACUUGAUGUGACCCCGUUUGUCCAUUUUUGCUUUGGUCGUCCGUACUUGUACAGAACCUUGUCUUAAACAUCACAAGGAAUAAAUUCAAAAUGUCUUUAUAUUAUGCUUUGGUGUGCCAUCUCUUUAGUUAUCAGUUAACAAACCCUGCAAGGUGUAGAUCUGCAUGGGUUCAGGGACAUUAAGUGAGCCAAGAGGCACAAUCAGGAAUUGAGCCCUGGUCUGACUUCUCACUGGGUGCACCUUUAACCAGAGUGGUACUUUACCUUUUACAAUGGACAAGUACAAACUCCUAUGCAAUGUUACAGCAGGGAUUAAUUAACUAUGCAUUGAGUAGCAGGCAGAUGAUUCCAUCUUUUUCAGACUUUCUGAUGGAGGAGUUUCAAGAUCAGCUUUGAAGGUGAAAUGUAGGAAGGGCAUCCCAUAUAGAAUCAGAAGGCAGAAAUGGACAUGCUGUGGCAUGUUGUGGAAUGAAGAACACACAUAUGUGGGGGUGUCAGUCUAGAGUAGAGAAGAAACAGGGAAAUUGAUAGAAUAGUGGAUGAAGGUGGUGGAUGAAGAAUUUUUUAUUUGCUAUAUCAGGUGAUAGGGAGUCAUUAUAUUUGUGUUUAAAAGGAAGUGAUACACCUGAUGGUGCCAAUUAUAUCAUUGUAAGGAGACUUGGUGGUCCUGGGCUGCUCUGUUGAUGGAAUUCUGGUAACUGGGAUGAGUUGGGCACACAGGUGGAUUCUAAUGUGUGGAAUACAGAGUUCCUUGGGACAUAGCAGCAUUCUUCCUGCUGCUGUUGGUCAUAAGUAGAUACAGGGUAUGAACUGUGAGAGUGAGUGGCUGCAGUGGUGAACACAAUCAUUUAAGGUAAAAUAAAGCCAAGGAACUGAGAGACUAGAGUGCUAGCAGGGAUAGGGUUCAAAAUAUUUAACUACUAGUGCUAGCAUGGCAUGGACCCAUCAAAAUAGAUGUAGCCCAUAACGCUGGUGCAGGGUCCUGCAGGCACCUUGUUGUGUUAGAUGAUUACUUUUUGUUUCUGAAUCGUGAAGAGAUCUGUUGAAUCCUGAUGAGGGGCUAGAGCAUUGAGGCAUGACAUUGAAGAGGAUUGACAGUGGCUAUGAAAAUAUUUCAGUAUUUUAGCAAGGAAUACAAUUAUACUUGCACAUAUUCAUAUGCAUGAGAUGCAUUGUCCUCAUGGAUGUUGAAGUCACUAGGAAUAAUGAAGGCAUUAUGGAGAGAGGGAUAGUAAGCCAGUUGAUGGAGUCUUAAAUGAAAGGUGAGUGACCAGGAGUGUGGUAGGUAAUAAUAACAAGGAGGAGUGUGUGUGGAAUAGUUUGAUGACAUGUGCUUCAAUGCAGCUGGACAUUAUUUAGAGAGGAAGGAUGAAAAUGGUACUUGAAGCAGCAAGGAGAAAAGAGAGUUCACUAUACUGAACAGAGACCACUUGCCCCAACACCGAACCUGAAGUAGAGCCUGGGUAUCUGAAAAAAGCUGUCCCAUAGAAUGAGAGAACCACAGCGAGAUGAGAAGGGCAUGCGGAGAAGGCUUUGCCUUGGCCCUCAGAGGAGCAGAUGCUCAGUAUGACAGAUGUGAUUCUAGAGUAAGAGAAGAAGAUUAGGGAAAGUGUCAGUAGCCCCCAGAAUGCCUGUGACACAGCUAGAAGAAUCUCAUUGACAGUGGGAUCAAUGUAGGACAGAGGGAAGAAUGGAGGCAGCUUACACCUGAAAUAAGGAUGAUGUCAGGCCCACAGAAAUGUAACUUGUGGGUGAAAAGACUGUCCAUCAAGGAAAUCAGAAAUCCCGCUGCCCAAGCAAUUCUCAAAAUCACCAUACAGAGAGAUCUGUUCAUGACCAUGGUAUAGACCACAGGGUGGCGGAUGGUAGCAUAGUGAUCAUAGGCCAUGGCAGAGAACAGACAGGCUUCCGUUCCCCCAGAGAGAGUGAAAAAGAAACUUGGUGAGGCAGCCCCACAUUGAGAUGCUUUUCUUCUGAGAGGAAAUUUUGUAGCAUCCUGGGCACAGUAACUAGGAGUAGCUGAGAUCCAGAAAGGACAGAUGUCAAAGGAAGAAGUACAUGGGUCUUUGAAGGUGAGAAUCAGCCCUGAUCUCCAGGAUCAUCACCAGCUUCCCCGUCAAAGUCAGGAGAUGAAUCACCAGGAUUAGCACAAAGAGCAUGAUCUGGAUCUCUGCAUCACUGGAAAAUCCCACAAGGACAAACUCAGGACUAAUAUUGACAUUUAUUAUGGUUGCUUAGAGAUUCUGUCCCUCAAAAGAAAUGAAUGGUUCUCUACUUGGCAGGGCAUUCAUCUGAGUCAUUCUCACUGAACAGGAGUUUUCUACUUACAGACGAGUAUACCUCCUUACCUAUGGCCCAAAAUGGGAAACUCGGGAUAAGGAAGUGUCAUCUUAAGUACAAUCUCCUCACUUGCCCUUCUUUCCUACCUUCUAGUACUGUCUCUGCAUGAUCUUGAAGGCUUUACUCUGUACCUCCAUCACUGUUUAGUAAAUGUACCAAGUGCAUAUGAAUCAGGUAGGUCCUGGAGUCAAAAUGAGACAAACUGCCCCAGUGGCAAAGCCUAGAAAAUCUUCUCUGGAUAAGGGUUGGGAGGCCUAUCGGAAAAUGAUUCCUUCUCAGAAUGGUAAGAUCAUAGACUCACACUAUGUGAGGACAUUUACAUAAUAUACUUUAAUCCCUUCAUUUUACAAAUGAAGAGAAUGCAUUGCCUAUGGUCUCAUAGCAAAGUGAGGACUAGGUUGGGACUAAAACCAGUCAAGGUUGGAACUAGAACCAGGUGUUUCAGCUAGUCUUGUAUGCAUCCAAGUGCAUCAUACUUGGUGAUUUUGAAUUGUUAGAGCUGAGUCUUGUGUGGUUAGGGGAUCAUGUGCAACUUUGCUAGUAGGGAGUUCGCUUCUUAAAAAUUUUUUUCUUUCAGCUCCCCACACAUCUAAAUAUUUUGUAAGGAGAUACUUUGAAAGGGUAAGUCUGGCUCCAUGAAUGUCCCAUCUGUAUAGCUGCAAAGUAUCCUGAUUUAGAAGGGUCCUGAGCUCUGGCCCUGUUUACUUUUUUUUUUUUUUUUUUUAGACAGGGUCUCACCAUGUUGCCCAGGCUGGAGUGCAGUGGCACAAUCACAGCUCACUGCAGCCUCGACCUCCUGGGCUUGAGCGAUCUUGCUGCCUCAGCCUCCUGAGUAACUGGGACUACAUGAGUAGCUGGGACUACAGGUAUGUACCACCAUGCCCAGAUACUUUUUUUUAAUUUUUUUUUUUUUGUAGAAACAGGGUCUUGCUAUGUUGCCCACGGUGGUCUGAAUUCUUGGGCUUAAGCCAUCCACCUGCUUUGGACUCCCAAAUUGCUGGAUUUACAGGCAUGAGCCACCAUGCCUGGCUUAGUAGGAAGUUCACUUAAAUUAUAAUAUAUUCCAGUAAUCCUUGGCUCUGACACCCAGCCAAUGGUCUCUAUAGUUCUGUGUCAACUGCUACUGAAGUAAAAAGAGCACUAGUCUUAGAGUAAGGGGCUUAGUUUGUCCUGGCCCACACAUUCUAGUGGGAUAAUCUGGGAAAAGUUCAUUUUUUUAAGCCUUAACUUAUUUAUUUGUGAAACUGAGUAAACAAAAUAAAUACCCUUGUAAACCAUAUAGCCUAUGAUCUUCUGUACAAAAAUUAAAUUUAUAUAUGUAUGAGCAAAGACUGACAUUGAAUUUUGAAAAAUAGAUUUCUCUACUGGGUAUUAGGCUGAUGGACAUUUUUCUUUGUCUUUCUUUUAAUUCUUAUAUAUUUAGAGGGUACAGUGAAGUUUUGUUACUUGGAUAUAUUGUGUAGUGGGGAAGCCUGGGCUCUUGGUGUAGUCAUCACCUGAAUAGUGUACAUUUUACCCCUUAAGUAAUUUCUCAUCCUUCAGCCCCCUCCCACCCUCCUACCCUUCUGAGCCUCCAUUGUUAUUUCUCUGAUGUUGUAAAAUUAUUUUUUCAUUGUAUAUAUAUGUUUGUGUGCAUGUGUGCAGUAAAAAGGACUUGGAGAUUUUCAGGAAAUACCCAGCCUAGUUCUGUUUUCUCCAGAGAUAAAAGGCAAAGGAAAAACCUGAAUUGAAGUGAGAGAAAAGUGCUAGGGCAAAGGAAGCUAAACUUCUAAAGAAAAAUUUGUCUCGUGGUCUCUUCCCCCCGUCAUCAUUGGACAUCUCAGUAGUUUGAUUCCACUUGGGUACAUGUGACUGGACCAGAUGCCCUCUUGAAAUGCCCCAGACCUAGGAUCCCAGACCACUGCCCCGGCAGUGUUUACAAAGUGUGUUAAACAGAAUCCUAUAUGCUCUGUUAUAGUGCUUCAGGGGCCACCAUAUGUGUUGAAGGGGUGAGGAGUUAGAGGGUGCCUCUCUGCCCUCAUAGCCACCCUAAUCAAUUUGUCUCUCCUUUUAUCUGUUUAAUAGUACUUGAUUUUUAUAGUAGGAUUUCAUUGAAGCAAGGAUUCCAUUACUAAAUCCCUUUCUAAAACUAGAGCUUUAAUGGCCAGAAGAAAUAAAAAUUUCUAUCCCUGUUUUCCACUCUCUUCAUUUCUGAUCCUCCAGGAAAUCUCCCUCCUACUCUUCAUCUGGCUGCUGCAGCUAGUAACACAUUUUAAAAUAAAAGGCUAACUUUUGGGGGGUCCAGAACUUGAUACAUAAAGAAACAGAACAGAAAGACUUCAGAUGGAGGAAGGGCAGAAGCCUCAACCUUCCGGCUCAGCCAUUACUUGAUUGGCUGAGAUAGCACUGUUUGACUUUGAGAAACACACAUCCCUAAUCUGUGUCCAGUUUCCUCCUGUGUAGGAUAUGGGGCUUGGACCUGUUGUUUUUGCAGAUCCCUCCCGUUACAUAGUCUGUAUGCCUCCGGGUUUCUCUCACCAACCUUACUGAGCAGGGGUGCUCCGGGUCUGACAGGUCUUCUGACUUCUGAGCUGGGCUGCCUGCCAUAAGGCACUGCUGCUGGAAGGAGACUCGGUUCCUGCAGCUGGAGUUGAGAGGCCUCCAGACAGUCCCCAGGAAAAGUGGACUUUGCUUUCCAGUGAGUGACAUGACCAGAGACAGGUACAGACAGGCAGCGACUUAAAGCCAAAGUGUUCAGUAUCUAUCCGCUGGCACAGGCAUGGGUCUUUUUGGAGAUGGCUCUCUUAAGACAGGAUUUUCUCUUCUUUUAUCACCUUUUACUCCCUCAGUCUUGAGGAGAGCUCCUGAUCAGUUUUUGUGACUUCUAUUUCUUCUUUCAUCAAAUCCCUGGGAUCUUGUGCCAGGCAGGCCCUGGUGUGGGGGGUGGUGAGAAGGGGCCCCAGAGAGUCAGGAAUUGCUCAGUGCUCAUGGAAGAGGUGGCAUUAGCCAGAGCAAAGGGGCCUCUGGUCCUGGGACAGAGUGGCUACUGACAUGGCUGUUACCAAGAGAGGUCUGGCUAAGGACAUAGGAGUGUAGAAAGCUCCUAGCCACAAAUUCUACUAAUUAAGAACCAGGGGAUCAAGAGGCUCUGGAAACGAUUUGUCUUGUCUCUGAUCGCUCUGAUUCUGAACAUGAGUGUGUGCAUGCCCAUGCACACAUAUACCUAAGUAAACACAGUUGAAAAGUUUCAUUACUCCUAUGAUGCCAUUUACCUUUUUAACUAUUCUUGCUUCUCCAGCUCUCAGCUUGGGCUCUUGCCUCCUAUUUCACAGAGAUAAUGUUCCUUUCUCUACUUUAGUUUUAUUAUAUCUCCCUCUAUAUAUUGGGCUUUACCACUGGUUAUUGCUCAAGUUUUUCCUAUUUGAAAAUAAAGUGGGCACAAUUAGUAGCCCUUCCUCCUCUGGAGAGAGUUGGCCUCCCUAAAACCAGCCUUGGUUGUCCUGGGAAUGGCAGGGAAAUACCAGCUAUGCUAAAGAAACAUGGUGAGUACAGACACAAGAAAGAUGAAACCAAAACUUUGGCUUACCUCUGUAAACUGGGAAUUACUCUUCUGUAACAGGACUGAAGGGAAGCUAAGCAUUUGGAGUAUAAAAGAAAGCCUAGGCCAGGCACAGUGGCUCACAUCUGUAAUUCCAGCACUUUCGGAAGCUAAGGUGGGCGGAUCACCUGAGGUCAGGAGUUCGAGACCAGCCUGGCCAACAUGGUGAAACCCCAUCUCUACUAAAAAUACAAAAAUUAGCCAGGUGUGGUGGCGGGUGCCUGUAAUCCCAGCUACUUAGGAGGCUGAGGCAGGCGACUCACUUGAAACCGGGAGGCAGAGGUUGCAGUGAGCCGAGAUCAAGUCAUUGCACUCUAGCCUGGGUGACAGAGCAGGACCCUGUCUCAAAAAUAAAUACAUAAAAAUAAAAAUAAAGGCUAUCCAACUCCAGGCUGUUUGAUCCCCCAACUACUUCCUUGUCUUUCCUUCUCUUUAUAGCCAGUUUUUUUUGGAAGGUUAGUCUAUGCCACAAUCUCCUCCUUCACUUCUCAGUCCAUUGUCAUCUGCUUUUUUCUGCUACCUCUAUCGCCCCUAGAGACCAUUCACUUACUAUAUUCAGAACACCAAGAGAUACGUAAAGACUGCGGUUGAUUGGUGAGCUUUGCUGGACUCAGGUGGAGAAGGCUUUGCCUUGGCCCCCAGAAGAGCAGAUGCUCCAGUCAAUUCUGGAGUAGGAAGAAAAGAUUUGGAAUACUUUAUGACUCCCUGUGAUAUGGUUUAGAUGUUUUGUCUCCUCCAAAUCUCAUGUUGAAAUGUGACCUCCAGUGCUGGAAGUGGGCCUAGAGGGAGUUGUUUGGGUCAUGGGGGCAGAUUCCUUAUGAAUAUCUUGGUGCUGUCCUAGUGGUAAUGAUUGAGUUCUCAUUCUACGAGUUCACAUAAGAUCUUGUUGUUUAAAAGAGCCUGGCACCUCCUUUCUUUCUCUCUUGCUCACUCUCACAAUGUGACACACUGGAUCCCCUUGACUUUCCACCAUCAUUGUAAGGCUUCUGAGGCCCUCCUAGAAGCAGAUACCUGCACCAUGCUUCAUGUACAGCCUGCAGAACUGUGAGACAAAUAAACUUGUUUUCUUCUAAAUUACCCAGUCUCAGAUAUUCCUUCAUAGCCGUGCAAAUGAAUGAACACAGUCAGAAAUGGAAGUGAUCUCACCAAAAUUACCUGUUGGCAAUAAGAUAUGUGUUGAAUGAAGGAGAAGUAGAGGCAGCUCAGAGUUGAAGAGAGGUUACAGGGCUUACAGAAGGGUAAGUUUAAUGUAUCCGUCAACUUAGGCCAAGUUAUGCUGUGAUAACAAGUGACCCAAAAUUUCAAUGGCUAACAACAAUAAAGAUUUAAUUCUCAUGCUACAUGUCACUGAGACAGUGGUGGCUUUGUUACUACAUAGCCUUUACUUUAGGACCUAGGCUUAGAGAGCAGCCUUUAAACUGGGAUAUGGCUGGUGUUUGGACUUAUGAAAAGAGAAGAAUGGUGAACUAUAAACUGGUUUUUGAAACUUGUGCUCAGAAGUGAUACCUGUGACUUUUUUUCCAAAGUAAGUCACAUGGCCACAUUUGAGUCAAUCAGGACAGAGAUAAAUCAUCCUCUUACAGGGAGGUGCGUUGAGAUUACAUGGUGAAACCUGAGAUCAAUGGGGUGGGGAGAAAGUAUAAUUCUUCCCCAGGAGGGUUAGCAAAUAUUUUGAAGAGUAAUACAAUCUUCCAUGUUAUUAAUGAAAUUAUUGGUCAGCAAGGAGGUCAGAACCUACUUUUCACCACUUUCUGUCCCCUCUCCUUCUCCAGAGAAAUGCAAAUAAACUGCUUUUGACUGAGAAAUAGAACAAGAGUGACACUUGACAGUUUAUCUGUCACAGGCCAUAGCAGUGAAUAGUCAGGCUUCAGAGUAUCCUGAAGAGAUGAACAAAACUCGGGGUCAUACAGUCCCCAAUGUGAAAUAUAGCCUCUUUGAUUUAUUUGCUUCUUGCUAGGAUACCUUCCCAAUAGGAGUUUUCAAAUAAGGUGGCAGUUUGGUAAAUUUUCUGAGGUUUUCUAUCAUUUAAAAUAUUGGGCCCUAACUUUUAAGAGAGAGUAUCACUGGACACAUAUUCAUAGUUUUGAAAUUUAUUUUCUUCAAGACUUUGGAAAUUUUAUGUUACUCUCUGUAUCUGAUGUUACUUUUGAAAAGUCUGAUUUCAAUCUGAUAUUUUUUCCUUAAUAGGCAGUUCUUCAUCUCUACAAACAUUUUUAGAAUCUUUUAGGAACACCUUAUUUGUCUUAGAAGUCCUCAAGAUUCAUUUUAAGUGUUUAAGUGGUUUUCUUUAUUUGUUAUGUUUAUCUGUCUUGUAUCUAACUUGGAACUCUGAGUACUUUUAAUCCUAGUUUGUUUUUUUCUGUUUUUACUCCAUAUGAAUUUUUUUCUUUACAGCUUUAUUGAAAUAUAAUUAUUGUACAAUAGACUGCAUAUAUUUAAAGUGUGUAAUUUGAUGGGUUUUGACAGAUAUAUGUACCCAUGAAACCAUCAAUGCAAUCAAAAUAAUGAACAUUUCCAUCACCUGCAAGUGGUAGAUUAUUAUUUCUUUAAAUAUGCCUCAGUCAUUUUUUUUUCCUUCUUCCUCCAGGAUGGUUAUUGAAAAUUUUUUGUUUUUGCAUUUCUCAUCUUUUCAUUUUGAAUUGUUCAUAUUUUGUCCAUCUUGGUGUUAUCUAGAAGAGCUUUUCAACUAGAUCUUUCAGCUCAAUAAUUAACUUUUUGGUUAUAUUAUUUUACUAUUUGUCUCAACUAUUUAUUCAUUUUAACCAUUAUAUAUUUUCUAUUUUAAUUAUGAAGUAUACAUAAAAAGACUAUAUGUAAUGUCUGUAUGCAGUAAGAAUGAAGAUAAUUGGACCUCAGUGUAUCUCACCCAGAUGAAGAAAUAAAACAACAACUCCUCACUCCUUCCUAUAAUAACCAUUACCCUGAGUUUUGAGUUUAUGGUUUCCUUGUAUUCUUUUUAUAAUUUUACCUCAAAUGUGUGCAUUCCUAAACAAUAAAUUUAGUUUUGCACAUUUAAAAAUACUACAUAAAAGAAAUAAUAACACAUGUAUUAUUCUGUGAUAUGUUCUGUUCUCUCAAAAUUAUAUUAGAUGAAAACAAUAUUUGACAAAGUGGACAUAGCAAAUCAGUGGGAAAGGGAA